RNA transcript from Diospyros lotus (date-plum), 8617 nucleotides. RefSeq lists it as uncharacterized. The transcript is spliced from 5 exons. The record is from RefSeq and is a predicted model, not a curated record. Lineage: Eukaryota; Viridiplantae; Streptophyta; Magnoliopsida; Ericales; Ebenaceae.
AACCUUGAGUAGAUACUUGUCUCUCCUUCUUUAACACACUAAGCUUUAAUUGCUUAGUCAUGAUGGGGCUACUUGGAGUAGCUCCAAGCAAUGCCUCAUCUUGGCUAUGGGAAUUGCCUUAGUGAAUGUUCAUUGCAUUAUCAUUCCCAACAACCUUUAUCAAAUUGAUUUCCUUUCUGUCCAAGACCUCCCUGAUGAAAUGGUGUUGCACAUCAAUGUGCUUGGUUCGCUCAUGAUGUGCUUGGUUUUUAAAUAGAUGUAUGGCACUCUGGCUCUCACACAUUAGUGUCGUUUCUAUAGAAGUCCCAAGUAAUUCCCCUAUCAGUCCUUUCAACCAUAAGGCUUCUUUUUUUGUGUCCGAAAUCGCUAUGUAUUCUGCCUUAGUGGUUGAUAAAGCUAUUACAUGUUGUAGACUUGCUUUCCAACUCACUGUUGAGUCCCAUAAUUUAAAAACAUAAUCGGUUGUGGACCUUCUUCUAUCUAGAUCGGCUACAUAGUCGGCAUCUGAAUAUCCUAUAAUACUUGAUGUACCUCCUUCCUUAGCUCCUCCAUAGACCAAAACUGUAUUAAUUGUUCUGUUUAGAUAUUUGAACACCCAUUUUACUGUACUCCUGUGUGGCUUUCCUGGGUUUGCCAUAAACGUACCGAUAACGAUCAUUGCAUGAGCUAGGUCAGGCUGAGUACAUACCAUAUUGUACAUCAGGCUGUCUACUGCACUUGAGUAGGGUAUAUUCCUCAUUUCUUCCAAACUUUCCUUGUCUGUAGGGGACUAAUCUAAUGACAACUUAAAUUGUUGAGCGAAUGAAACAUUUACAGCUUUUACCUCUACCAUUCCAAACUUUCUAGUUAGUUUUUCUAGAUAAGUUUUCUGAGAUAGGCAAAGCAUUCCCUACUUCUUAUUCUUGGUAAUUUCUAUACCCAAUAUUUUCCUGCCUCACCUAGCUCCUUCAUUUCAAAUGUUGAUUUUAGAUCCGGCUUUAGUUACUGUAUUUCUUUCCCUGAUUGGCUAGCAAUCAACAUGUCAUUAAGAUAUAAUAGGAGAUAGAUCGAAAUGCUAUUGGAUACAUGCUUAAAAUACACACAACAGUCAUAUGAGCUCUUAGCAAAUCCCUGACUAAACAUAAACGUAUCAAAUUUUUUAUACCAUUGACGUGGGGAUUGCUUGAGUCCAUAUAGGGAUUUUUUUUUUUUUUUUUUUAAGAAACAAACUUGUUCUACCUUUUCUUUUGAUUAGAAACCUUUUGGCUUCUCCAUAAGGAUUCUUUCGUCUAAUUCCCCAUGUAGAAAAGAUGUUGUAACAUCUAUUUGCUCCAAUUGGUUUAAUUUGGCUAUCAUAGCAAGUAGAACCCUGAUAGAGGUAUAUCUAACAACUAGUGAGAAUACCUCGUUGAAGUCCACUCCAGGGACUUGAGUGAAGCCUCUUGCCACCAACCUAGCCUUGUACCUAGGUUUGGCAUUGCCUCCAAUCCCUUCUUUUAUCUUGAAUAACCACUUACAUCCUACAAUUAUUUGUCCUUGAGGCCUAUCAAUCAGAGUCCAAGUUUGAUUCUUUCUUAAGGAAUCUAUUUUGGACUUCAUGGCUUCAAUCCACUUACUUGAAUUCUUAGAGUGAACAGCCUCUUCAUAAGUCAAAGGCUCAUCUCCAGUUACCUCUGAUGCACUUGUUAGUGCAUACGAUACCAGAUCUAAAAAUCCAUACCUUUUAGGUGGUUUGCUUUGUCUCAUUUGCCUAGGGCUGGCAAUAAGCUGAGCUGAGCCGAGCUAGGCCCAGCUCGAGCUCAGCUCGAUUGAUUAUAGCUUGGCUCAUAGCUCGGCUUGAGCUUGAUAUGAGCUGAUUUUUUUAGCUCGAGCUUGGCUCUAUGAUGACUACGAGCUGGCUCGGCUCGACUCAACUCGAAAUUGACUAUUACCUUACUUUUAUGUAUAUAUAUAUUUAAAUAAUAUAUGCAAUAUAUAUACUAUAUAUUUAAAUAAUAUAUUUAUAAAAUUAUUAAGUAUAUAUUUAUAUUAUUGAGUAUUAAGUAAUAAAUAUUUUUUUAUUUAAUAAAUUUAUAAAAUUAAUAUAUAUAUAUAUAUAAAUAUGUCGAGCUAGCUCGUGAGCCAAAUGAGUCAAGUUAAUGAUAGCUCAAGCUCGGCUCAUUUACUAAAUGAGCCAAAUAUUUGAGCUCAAACUUGGCUCUUUUGUAUCAUGAGCCAGCUUAUUGAGCCAAUUUUCGAGUCGAGUUUUGAGCCAGCUCACGAGUAGCUCGGUUCAUUGCCAGUCCUACCUUUGCCUGUCCCUUGCAACAUUAUAUCUUUGCAAAUCAAGUUGAUUUUUUGUAUUUGGCCCAUCCACUCUCUCCUCUCGAGGAUCAAAAUCCUGAUCAUCCCCUAUGUCCUCACUCCCUUCUUGCUGAUCAAAUUCCUGAUUAGGUGAAGUGCCAAAGUCAUAUUCUCAGACUCUACCUUGCCACUCAACAUCUACUAAUUUUUAUGUAGACAUUGGUUUUCCUUGAUCAUCUUCCUUAAGACCCUUAGCAGAUGAGUUCUCAUCAAAGGCAACAUCUUAGCUUACUAAUAUCCUUUGAUGUCUAGGUUUUAGGUUCCAAAGUUUAUACCCUUUUACUCCUUAUGGAUAACAAAUGAAAAUACAUUUCUUUGCCUGGGGUUCCAAUUUUCCUUAUUUUAUAUGCGCAUAUGCAAUACACCCAAAUACCCUCAAAUGCUCUAGGUUAGGUUUUUAUCCUGUCCACAUUUUGUAAGGAGUCUUAAAUGCAAUUGUUGCAGAUGGUAAUUUGUUUAUCAUGUGUGCAACAGUUGUCACGGCUUCCCCCCAGAAUGCCUUAGAUAGGUUUGCAUGAAAUAGCAUACACCUCACUCUUUUUAGAAGUGUUCUAUUAAUCUUUUUUGCCAUGCCAUUUUGUCUAGGGUUGCCUGGGGCAGUUAGGUGUCUAAUUAUCCUAUUUUCCUUGCAUAAUUCUGUGAAUUCCCUAUUGCAGAAUUCGAGACCAUUGUUUGUCCUGAUUGUCUUAAUGCUUCUUCCUUUCUGAUUUUCAAUCAUGGUUUUCCAUGUCUUGAAAGCCUAAAAUGUAUGAUCUUUUGACUUUAAGACAUAUAUCCAAACCAUUCUUGAGAAGUCAUCAAUAAUGGACAAAAAAUGCCUAGAUCCUCCAUGGGUUAGGGUCUGGGCAGGUCCCCAUAGGUCAUUGUGGAUAUAAUCUAAUGGAGCUUUAGAGGAGUGUAUUGCCUUUUUACUGAAUUUGACCUUAGUGGUUUUCCCAUAACUGCAAGACUCACACUUGUUAAGUCCUGCCACCUGAUCUUUUUUCAGAAUUCAUUGGUUUGACAAUUCCUUUAGCCCUAGUUCACUGAUGUGAUACAUCCUAAGAUGCCAUAAUCUUGAUUGUGUGAUAGCCUUUCCUCCUGCCACUGUAGCUUCUCCAUUGAAGGUAGUGCCUUGCAGCAUAUAUAUCCCAUUUUGCAAUAAGGCUUUCAUACAAACUAGAGACUCUUUAGAAACUUUUAGAACUCCACCCUCGCCCUUAAAAUUGUGACCUUGCUUAUCUAGUUCUCCGAGAGAAACCAAGUUUCUCCUUAACUUAGGGACAUGCCUCACAGAUUGUAGAGUCCUAUAAGUAUUAUUCUGUAUCUUUAGCCUUAUGUCUCCAACACCAAGCACCCUGCACUCAUGAUCAUUUUAUAGUAGUACUUUGCCUCUAUUUAUUUCCUGAUAGUUCAAGAACCAGUGCUUAUUUGGUGUCAUGUGAUAUGAACAUCCUGAGUCCAUAAUCCACACUUCACUUUUUGAUUUUUCUUACACAACUAAAGCGUUUGAACUAUCAUACCCAAAUUCAUAAAUUGAGGCUCCACCAUGAGUGUUAUUUCUUUCUUGAAAGUCCUUUUUCCUUUUAGGACAAUUCCUCUUAAUGUGUCCUUCAUGGCAAUAAUAACAUUUUACCACUUCUAGAUUUAGAUCUUGAUCUACCUCUCACCUUUGGUUCUCUUUUAUCCGACCUAAGUUUAUUGUGAGAGCAUCACCUGAUGAAUGUUUUCCCUCUACUUUGUACUACAAUUCUUUAGAUAUAAGUGCACCUAUCACAUCAUCAAGAAGAUACAACCCAUUUUGGACUUUAGUAGCUCCAAUCUUCUUCCUCGAUAUUCGGUUCUAAAAUACACAACAGUUAUCAACAAAGGUAAUAAUGCAGUCCAGAUCUUUGGUCAGUUUAGAAAUAGAGGUGAGAUUAGUAGUGAGUUUUAGUACAUGGAGGACAUUAGUUAAAUGAAGAGAAGGUGUUAAGGUGAUAUGGCCUUCACCAGCAACAGUAAGAGAAGAUCCAUUGGCAACUGUGAUUUUGUGAUGCCCUGAACUUGGUUUAUAGGUAAUAAAUGAAGUAGACUCAUGGGUCAUAUGAUCAGUAGCACCCGAAUCAAGUAUCCAGCAGUUAGGUGGAGAUGUUCCAAAAGCAUUAAAAAAAAGAUGAAAUAAGACACUUACCAUCUCGGGCAGAUGAACAAGAAUUAGAGGACUUGGAAAGUGUAUCAAGGGGACCUUUCAUUCGUUUAAUCUCUCCUUGAUAUUAGUUCUUGAUGAGGAAGUUUGCUCUGGCUGAGAGUUGUCUUGAUUAGUGAGAUUAGCCCGGCCAUUGAGAAUUCCUUUUAAAGCCUCCCAUUUGCUGAGUUCUUGUUCUUUUCCAUGAAGUUUUAAACAAUUUUCUUUUGUGUCUUGAUUUCUUGCAAUAGCUACACAAUAAACCAUCUUUGUUAGGGUUAGAUCUUGGUUUAGCCACAACUAGAAUGGUCUUGUUUACUGCCAUAGUAGAUCCAACAGGUGUUGGUGGAUCAAGCAUGGUAGAGCAUUGCAUCUCUUCUCCUCGAACAAUAGAGAAUACCUCUGCAACAGGAGGCACAAGAUCCUUUCCCAAAAUCUGCACUCUUACUUGGUCAUACUCUAGGUUAAGACCAGCAAGAAAAUCAAAGGUUCAAUUGCUCUCCACAAAUGUAGUGUGUGAUGUAGUAUCUUCAGGGUAGAUCAUUGUCACAUUCUGGUAAUGAUCGAUCUCAGACCAAAUAUCAGUAAGUGUGUUGUAAUAAUCAGGCACUGUCAUCCCUCCUUCCUUCAUAGCAGCAGCCUUGGUCCGAAGCUCAUAGUUAUCUGCUGCAUCUUGCUUCAUGGAAUAGCUUUUGCUGAGUGUCUCCCAAAUGUCAUGAGAUGAAGAUAGAAACAUGCAAUUUCUAUGUAUUUCUGAUAACAUGGAGUUCCAAAGCCAUGACAUAAUCAUGGCAUCUUCUUCAUCCCAUGCCCGAAACCUUGGAUUGGUAGAACUGGAACCCUUACCAGUUAGGUGAGACAGUUUUCCACACCCUUUUAGAUAGGUAGAGACUACUUGGGGCCAUUGGAGAUAAUUCUUUCCAUGAAGUUGAUAAGCUGGGAUGAAGAUCACUAUGACUAGGAGAGCUAGGUGUAUGUUCAGUAGGCUAAAGAUCACUCGAGAGAUUAGUGGGUUGAUCCCCUGAUGAAAGAUCAGAAGGAUUUGAGGUGUCUGCAUCAGAAACUGUAGACAAGGUAGUGGUAAUAUCGGCUAAAUAGACGCAACAAUGAAGAUUGAAAAAGGGAGAGAGUUGAGGGUAGCGGUUGAAUAGGAAUGAAGGCUAUAACAGCACACAAAAAACACUCCUAAAGAUGGUGGCGGGAAAAGAAUUAGGGUUCUAAGAAAGGAGGUUUUGAUACCAUGUAGAGAAAAAUGAAACAAUUUAAGAAAAUUGUUGAUAUUUGCUCGAUUGAUUCUCAAGUAGUAUAGGGUAUUUAUACACAACAACUAGUUUAUAUUCUAUAUUUUAGGAACAUAUUUGAAUAUGUUUUGAAGAUAAAAUACAAAAAGAAUUUAAAAAAAUGCUAAGAUAUCUUGAAUUAUUCUGCUGCCUUAUCUGUUGUUUUUAUCCCUUUAUUCUUGGAGGUUUUCAAUCUCCAAAUCACCUUAUCACUUUAUCCUUUCAUCUCCUAUUCUUCGGGCCAUAAGAUUAGGAGAACAAUCCAGCUAUUACUGGAGUCCUUCUUUGAGGAAACUGCUAUUUUAUUUCCACAAUAUCUUUGGGAAAAUUCCAACAUUUAUCAUUAGAUAAUGUUUAAUCAUGAAAAUUGAAAUAAUAUUUAAAGUAUUUUUAUAUCGAAACAGUAUGAACUAUAAAAGCAUUUUUGUCAAUAUCCUUUUUGGUAAUUUGAUUAUUAAAAACCAUUUUUUCAUUCAUUGGCCAAAUACAUAUAACAACAUUAAAAUCAUUUUCAAGUAAUUUGGCCAAAUGCUAAACUACUUUUUAUAAAAAUUGAUUCUUGUGAAAGCACUUCUCACAACAGAAAUUUCACAGCAAUACCAAACAGAGCCAAAAAAGGAAGGAAAGUCAUUGCCACCAAGAUUCUUGCUUGAAAGGGUUGGAUUUCUUCGGUUUUUGUCAUGACUAACAAAAAAAAUGAUUUGAUACCAUGCAAGGAAUGUUAAUUGGGUAUCUUUUUGAUGACUUGUGCUCAUGGUGCUAGGAAUCUAUUGAUUCAAGAGAUUCCAGUGAAACAAUUAGUUGGCAUUUGGGUAGUGAGAUUAUUAGAUCCCUUCCCAACUAUACUGAUCGAACCAAUACUACAAGCCUCAAAACCCAUAAUAAUUUCCUUUCUUUAAGGUAAAUAAAUUUAAUUAACUGUAGAAUCUAAAUAUUUUCAAUGAUAUUUGUCUUUCUAGCAAUUACAUUUUUUUUAGUUCACAUAAUCUCAUAAUAUCAUACUUUAUUUUCUUGAAUUGUAUUGAAGCUAUUGAUGGUACCUAUGUGAAAGUUAGAUUGCCAUGAAGACAAGAUAUACCUUUAAGAGGACGGAAAAGAUAUGCAAUUUGCAUUGAUAGAUAUAAAAUAUAUGUUUUACAUUUGCAUCGGUUGGAUGGAAGGGAGCUUCCCAAGUUCCAACUAUAGUCCAAUCCUUGGUGACGCCAUUCAUAGACUGGAAUUGAAUUUUCCCCUUCCAAAAGGAGAAAAAUAUUACCUAGAUAAUGUAGGUUAUUCUCAUAUAAUUGAAUUCAUGGGUCUGUAUAAAGGUAUGAGUAGAAGAUUUCAUUAUACUAGAACACCAUAAUUGCACACACCUUGAGGACUAAAGAUCAAUUUCAGUUAUCGGCAUUCUUCAUGCAGAAAUAUUGUUGAGUGCACUUAUACACCGUGAAAGGCUCAGUUUCUAAUUUUGGAAGAUAUGCAUUAAUGUCGCUUUAACAUUCAACAAGAAAUAGUUCUUGCAAUUAUCGCAAUCCAUAAUUAUAUAUGGGAGAAGAUGAGAAUGAAAGCUUUGUCUUUCCCCAUUUAGAGUGUUUUCUCACAAUUAUGUGGACAAUGCUAUGGACUGAAGUGAUGAUACCCUUGAGUGGAAGUGCGUGAUGCUGUAGCUACAAAUAUUAGUUAAGAAUGAUUUGUAUUUUACUUAAAUUUGUUUAUUUUAUUUGAUUUGAUAUUUUGGAUACUUCAUAUUUUAUAAUGUUUUCAUUGCCUUACCCAUCAUUUUAUUGGAUUAUAUCACGUGUAAUAAAAAAUUUAACAAAUUAAUGAAUUAAAUAUCAAAAUUAUUAUAUUAAACCUAAUAUAUGUUAUAAUUUGUCUCAAAAGUAGAAUUAAUUAAACUCCUUAUCUAAAGGUUGCAUUUUUAUAACUUUAUUUGUUAAAAUAAUGAUUUUUCGUUUAUGGUUUAACAGUUCUGACAGUAUAUAAGUUUCUCUUUUACUAAAUGUAUAACUAUAUAAUUGACAACUUGUAGCACAUUUUUUCCAAACACUUUUAAAGGCAUAUUGGCAAAUAAGCUCUUUGAAGUCAAAAGAGUUAUAAGUCAACAUUUUCAUCAUCUUAGUAGUUACUCUAUUUGAUUCAAAUAGAUCUGAACUUGUUCAUGUAAGGAUGAGCUUUCAUCUCAUAAACUCAUGUUCAUUCAGCUGGAAGUAUUAAGACUUUAAGAUUUGAACCUCUUCCUGCUAAAAAAAAAAGAACAGUGUAAGAGGUGACAAAGUGAUGCCAAAGAAAUGUCUUGAGAGUUUGUUAAUGUUGAAUGCCAUUGUUCUACUCUUUGGUCUGCCACAAAAUCUUUUGAAAUCCUAAAAUUAAUGAUAGGAAGGAUUGAAGUACCAUUGUGCCUAAUGAUGAUAUAUCAUGUUACCAUGCUGGAUUCCUGAAUGGCCUUCUGUCAAAGGCACGCCUAGGCUCAAGGCUCAGCUGAGGGCACCUCGCUUUAUGAAGCACAUGCCUAGGUGCAAAGGCACACCUCACACAAAGCUUUCAACCUCAAUUUAUUGGAUGUAUCAAACAUAAGAACUAUUGGUCAAUCAGAGGAGAUAUUUACUGGAGCUGUUAAGAGAAGUGAGAGGAAACUGGUGUUAUACUAAUUUUCUUGAGGUCAUAGAUUUCAGGGGUGAUCUUAGAGAAACAGGAAGAUGUUGCUUCUUUAUCCUGUUGCCAUUCAUCAUGGGAGUUUGUCUGUAAGAACAAAUUUAAAUGAUGUUUUGGUUUUCUUUUUUCUUGCUGAGUAAGAAUCCAAUUUUGGUUGCUAAUUAUAGAAUGUUGAGUUAAGAUCCUUCUGUUGGAUAAUGAUAUUUUCCAAGAGUUGGGCUGUUUUGGAUUA